UAUGAGAGUUUGAUCCUGGCUCAGGACGAACGCUGGCGGCGUGCCUAAUACAUGCAAGUCGUACGCUUCUUUUUCCACCGGAGCUUGCUCCACCGGAAAAAGAAGAGUGGCGAACGGGUGAGUAACACGUGGGUAACCUACCCAUCAGAAGGGGAUAACACUUGGAAACAGGUGCUAAUACCGUAUAACAAUCGAAACCGCAUGGUUUUGAUUUGAAAGGCGCUUUCGGGUGUCGCUGAUGGAUGGACCCGCGGUGCAUUAGCUAGUUGGUGAGGUAACGGCUCACCAAGGCCACGAUGCAUAGCCGACCUGAGAGGGUGAUCGGCCACAUUGGGACUGAGACACGGCCCAAACUCCUACGGGAGGCAGCAGUAGGGAAUCUUCGGCAAUGGACGAAAGUCUGACCGAGCAACGCCGCGUGAGUGAAGAAGGUUUUCGGAUCGUAAAACUCUGUUGUUAGAGAAGAACAAGGAUGAGAGUAACUGUUCAUCCCUUGACGGUAUCUAACCAGAAAGCCACGGCUAACUACGUGCCAGCAGCCGCGGUAAUACGUAGGUGGCAAGCGUUGUCCGGAUUUAUUGGGCGUAAAGCGAGCGCAGGCGGUUUCUUAAGUCUGAUGUGAAAGCCCCCGGCUCAACCGGGGAGGGUCAUUGGAAACUGGGAGACUUGAGUGCAGAAGAGGAGAGUGGAAUUCCAUGUGUAGCGGUGAAAUGCGUAGAUAUAUGGAGGAACACCAGUGGCGAAGGCGGCUCUCUGGUCUGUAACUGACGCUGAGGCUCGAAAGCGUGGGGAGCAAACAGGAUUAGAUACCCUGGUAGUCCACGCCGUAAACGAUGAGUGCUAAGUGUUGGAGGGUUUCCGCCCUUCAGUGCUGCAGCUAACGCAUUAAGCACUCCGCCUGGGGAGUACGACCGCAAGGUUGAAACUCAAAGGAAUUGACGGGGGCCCGCACAAGCGGUGGAGCAUGUGGUUUAAUUCGAAGCAACGCGAAGAACCUUACCAGGUCUUGACAUCCUUUGACCACUCUAGAGAUAGAGCUUCCCCUUCGGGGGCAAAGUGACAGGUGGUGCAUGGUUGUCGUCAGCUCGUGUCGUGAGAUGUUGGGUUAAGUCCCGCAACGAGCGCAACCCUUAUUGUUAGUUGCCAUCAUUCAGUUGGGCACUCUAGCAAGACUGCCGGUGACAAACCGGAGGAAGGUGGGGAUGACGUCAAAUCAUCAUGCCCCUUAUGACCUGGGCUACACACGUGCUACAAUGGGAAGUACAACGAGUCGCGAAGUCGCGAGGCUAAGCUAAUCUCUUAAAGCUUCUCUCAGUUCGGAUUGUAGGCUGCAACUCGCCUACAUGAAGCCGGAAUCGCUAGUAAUCGCGGAUCAGCACGCCGCGGUGAAUACGUUCCCGGGCCUUGUACACACCGCCCGUCACACCACGAGAGUUUGUAACACCCGAAGUCGGUGAGGUAACCUUUUGGAGCCAGCCGCCUAAGGUGGGAUAGAUGAUUGGGGUGAAGUCGUAACAAGGUAGCCGUAUCGGAAGGUGCGGCUGGAUCACCUCCUUUCUAAGGAA
Molecule: ribosomal RNA, 1565 nt
Filed under: Enterococcus durans
Lineage: Bacteria; Bacillati; Bacillota; Bacilli; Lactobacillales; Enterococcaceae
Also listed under: 1 other name
Description: bacterial SSU rRNA
Rfam family: Bacterial small subunit ribosomal RNA
Source: RNAcentral